CGGACGGGUGAGUAACACGUGGAUAACCUACCUAUAAGACUGGGAUAACUUCGGGAAACCGGAGCUAAUACCGGAUAAUAUAUUGAACCGCAUGGUUCAAUAGUGAAAGACGGUUUUGCUGUCACUUAUAGAUGGAUCCGCGCCGCAUUAGCUAGUUGUGAGGUAACGGCUUACCAAGGCAACGAUGCGUAGCCGACCUGAGAGGGUGAUCGGCCACACUGGAACUGAGACACGGUCCAG
Molecule: ribosomal RNA, 240 nt
Filed under: uncultured Staphylococcus sp.
Lineage: Bacteria; Bacillati; Bacillota; Bacilli; Caryophanales; Staphylococcaceae
Description: partial 16S ribosomal RNA
Rfam family: Bacterial small subunit ribosomal RNA
Source: RNAcentral